This 253-nucleotide ribosomal RNA is filed under the name uncultured bacterium. RNAcentral describes it as "partial 16S ribosomal RNA". It matches the Rfam family "Bacterial small subunit ribosomal RNA", at positions 524 to 776 of the family's 1533-position model. The record is from RNAcentral.
UACAGAGGGGGCAAGCGUUGUUCGGAAUUACUGGGCGUAAAGGGCGCGUAGGCGGCCUUCUAAGUCGAACGUGAAAUCCCCGGGCUCAACCCGGGAACUGCGUCCGAUACUGGAAGGCUUGAAUCCGGGAGAGGGAUGUGGAAUUCCAGGUGUAGCGGUGAAAUUCGUAGAUAUCGGGAGGAACACCGGUGGCGAAGGCAGCCUCCUGGGCCAACACUGACGCUCAUGCACGAAAGCGUGGGGAGCAAACAGG